Molecule: ribosomal RNA, 443 nt
Filed under: uncultured bacterium
Lineage: Bacteria
Description: bacterial SSU rRNA
Rfam family: Bacterial small subunit ribosomal RNA
Source: RNAcentral
AACGCGAAGAACCUUACCUGGGCUCGAACGGCUUUGGAUCGACGGUGGAAACACUGUUUUCCCGCAAGGGACCGGAGUCGAGGUGCUGCAUGGCUGUCGUCAGCUCGUGUCGUGAGAUGUUGGGUUAAGUCCCGCAACGAGCGCAACCCUUGUCCUGUGUUGCCACUCCCGUAAGGGAAGCACUCUCAGGAGACCGCCAGCGAUAAGUUGGAGGAAGGUGGGGAUGAUGUCAAGUCAUCAUGGCCUUUAUGUCCAGGGCUACACACGUGCUACAAUGGUCGGUACAAAGCGCUGCUAACCCGCGAGGGGGAGCCAAUCGCAAAAAGCCGGCCUCAGUUCGGAUUGCAGGCUGCAACUCGCCUGCAUGAAGCUGGAAUCGCUAGUAAUGCCGUAUCAGAAUGAUGGCGUGAAUACGUUCCCGGGCCUUGUACACACCGCGCAUA